Molecule: ribosomal RNA, 651 nt
Filed under: uncultured Sulfurospirillum sp.
Lineage: Bacteria; Pseudomonadati; Campylobacterota; Epsilonproteobacteria; Campylobacterales; Sulfurospirillaceae
Description: bacterial SSU rRNA
Rfam family: Bacterial small subunit ribosomal RNA
Source: RNAcentral
GAGUUUGAUCAUGGCUCAGAGUGAACGCUGGCGGCGUGCUUAACACAUGCAAGUCGAACGGACUUAAGGGGCUUGCUUCUUAAGUUAGUGGCGCACGGGUGAGUAAUAUAUAGCUAACCUGCCCUUUAGUGGGGGACAACAGUUGGAAACGACUGCUAAUACCCCAUACUCCUUCUGAUCUUAAGAUCAGUUGGGAAAGAUUUAUCGCUAAAGGAUGGGGCUUUAUUGUAUCAGCUAGUUGGUGGGGUAAUGGCCUACCAAGGCUAUGACGCAUACCUGGUCUGAGAGGAUGAUCAGGCACACUGGAACUGAGACACGGUCCAGACUCCUACGGGAGGCAGCAGUGGGGAAUAUUGCACAAUGGAGGAAACUCUGAUGCAGCAACGCCGCGUGGAGGAUGACGCAUUUCGGUGUGUAAACUCCUUUUAUAGGGGAAGAUAAUGACGGUACCCUAUGAAUAAGCACCGGCUAACUCCGUGCCAGCAGCCGCGGUAAUACGGAGGGUGCAAGCGUUACUCGGAAUCACUGGGCGUAAAGGAUGCGUAGGCUGGAAAUCAAGUCGAAAGUGAAAUCCAACGGCUCAACCGUUGAACUGCUUUCGAAACUGGUUACCCUAGAUAUGGGAGAGGUAGAUGGGAAUUAGUGGUGUAG